UUGGCUGAAAGGGGGGGGGGGGGAGAUGCACGCUCGUGGUUUGAGUCUUGUAUGUAAGUUCAGGAUCUUCCUGCCUCCGUCUUCUGAGCGCCAAGGUUGCAGGCAUGCACCAGCCAGCGAAAGGCUAGCAAAAGGCAGCUUCUGACUUGAGCUGCCACAAAGUCCUGACGUGACAAGCAGCAGGAACCUGCCUGCUUUGGAAUCCAAGCCCGGGAAUGCCCAGGGAUGGCAGGCUCUGUGAUCUGUGAAGACUGAUGGCAGAGAGCACUCCCUUGAUUGCUCCAAGCAUCUCUGGGGCAGGUGCUGCGUAAAGAUUGUUAGUAAUAAAUAUGAAGUCUUACACCAA
RNAcentral lists this long non-coding RNA (346 nucleotides) under Rattus norvegicus (Norway rat). RNAcentral's name for it is "long non-coding RNA NONRATT007876". Lineage: Eukaryota; Metazoa; Chordata; Mammalia; Rodentia; Muridae. The record is from RNAcentral.